Molecule: microRNA precursor, 190 nt
Filed under: Oryza barthii
Lineage: Eukaryota; Viridiplantae; Streptophyta; Magnoliopsida; Poales; Poaceae
Description: MIR812 microRNA precursor family
Rfam family: MIR812 microRNA precursor family
Source: Rfam by way of RNAcentral
AAAAAGGUAAACCCUGGGUUUCUGUGUCCAACUUUAACUGUCCGUCUUAUAUGAAAUUUUUUUAUAAUUCGUAUUUUCAUUGUUGUUAGAUGAUAAAACAUGAUUAAUAUUUUAUGUGUGACUUGUCUUUUUAAUUUUUUUUAUAAUUUUUUCAAAUAAGACGGACGGUCAAAUGUUAAACUCAGAAACC